AUAUCAGAGACAUUUUGAAUUCUGCAGCUCAGGGAGAAGGAGGAUUCCGCUGUGUGCCUCCACCCUGCCCUGCCCCUACUACACCAGGAAGUGAAGCACAGGACCAUGAACAGACUCGGUCAAGGGGGAGUCUGCUGUCCCUGCUUCCGAUCCCAGUCACAGCCUGCGUGUUCCUCAUUGUGUGGAUGUGAGGAGCUGUCCAGUACAACAACAGCCACACUGACGUGUCUGGCCAUCAAGGGCUUCCCCUCAGACUGGACCAUGAGCUGGAAAGUGGACGGGACCAACAAGAACCAGGAGGCCAGUCCCAGGGUUCUGGAGAAGGACGGCCUGUACAGCUGGAGUAGCACCCUGACUCUCACUACCCAGGAGUGGACCAUGGCAGGAGAGGUGACCUGUGAAGCCCAGCAGAAAUACCAGACUCCAGUCACCAAGACCCUGAGGAAGGCUGACUGUUCUGGGUAGGACCCCUCAGUCACACACCCCUGUGGAGAGAGGCUGCUGGUUCCUCUGCUUUGACUCUGUUCUGAGACCAGAUGUUCUCUGUCUUAUUGAUCCCUGACAUGUAGACCAAAAGGGGGCUUUGCUUGAGUUUAUGUGUCAAUCCUCUCUGUAGACUGAGGUUGUAUCAGUGUUAGAUUUAAUGUGUUCUGUUUUAUUACUAUUAGAUACUGUAGGAAUGUUUGCUUUGAUGCUUUAAUUAAUGGAUGAAAACAAAGAUUUCCCUUUUGGACAAAGAUUCUUGUUGUUGUCAAUAAUGACAUUUUAGUCUUAAAUGUUGAAUGAAAUAGAAAUAGAUUCAUAAAACCCAUCAGACCUAAAUGUCAUUGCUUCGUUAUUUAGGUUUUCACUUGAAAUUAGAUCGUCAUCAAACUGUAGUUCAUAGUAACACAAGAUACAACGAUGUUUACAGAUGAACAGAAGGACUAUCCACUUGUAGCAGAUGGUAUGUUUUAUUAAAAUUUUCAGAAUGUUUAUGACCUGCUUGACUUCUAGACUUAUAAAGACAGUAAUCUAACAUGUUAUUGCUAUCUUGGACUCUCACCAAUGUGAUCAUGCCUGCAUUUAACUCAAAUAAAUAAUA
Non-coding RNA from Oncorhynchus masou masou (cherry salmon), 1084 nucleotides. NCBI's taxonomy places the organism in Eukaryota, Metazoa, Chordata, Actinopteri, Salmoniformes, Salmonidae. The record is from the annotation of a RefSeq genome assembly.